UACAGAAGGGGCAAGCGUUGUUCGGAAUCAUUGGGCGUAAAGGGCGCGUAGGUGGUUCUGUAUGUCUACCGUGAAAGCAUACAGCUCAACUGUAUUUUGUCGGUAGAAACUGCAGGACUUGAGGCUGGGAGGGGCUGGUGGAAUUCCCUGUGUAGCGGUGAAAUGCGUAGAGAUGGGGGAGAACACUCGUGGCGAAGGCGGCCAGCUAGACCAGUUCUGACACUGAGGCGCGACAGCGUGGGGAGCAAACAGG
This 253-nucleotide ribosomal RNA is filed under the name uncultured bacterium. Its description in RNAcentral is "partial 16S ribosomal RNA". It matches the Rfam family "Bacterial small subunit ribosomal RNA", at positions 524 to 776 of the family's 1533-position model. The record is from RNAcentral.